CAGGCCUAACACAUGCAAGUCGAACGCUAUCGCAAGAUAGAGUGGCGCACGGGUGAGUAACACGUGGGAAUCUGCCCUUCUCUGCGGGACAACAGUUGGAAACGACUGCUAAUACCGCACACGCCCUUCGGGGGAAAGGUCCGCCGGAGAAGGAGGAGCCCGCGUCUGAUUAGCUUGUUGGUGGGGUAAAGGCCUACCAAGGCGACGAUCAGUAGCUGGUCUGAGAGGAUGAUCAGCCACACUGGGACUGAGACACGGCCCAGACUCCUACGGGAGGCAGCAGUGGGGAAUAUUGGACAAUGGAGGCAACUCUGAUCCAGCAAUGCCGCGUGUGUGAUGAAGGCCCUAGGGUUGUAAAGCACUUUCAUUGGUGAAGAUGAUGACGGUAACCAAAGAAGAAGCCCCGGCUAACUUCGUGCCAGCAGCCGCGGUAAUACGAAGGGGGCGAGCGUUGUUCGGAAUUACAGGGCGUAAAGGGAGCGCAGGCGGUUCAUUUAGUUAGGCGUGAAAGCCCCGGGCUCAACCUGGGAACUGCGCUCAAUACUGAUGAGCUAGAAAACAGAAGAGGAUAGCGGAAUUCCCAGUGUAGAGGUGAAAUUCGUAGAUAUUGGGAAGAACACCGGUGGCGAAAGCGGCUAUCUGGUCUGAU
This 649-nucleotide ribosomal RNA is filed under the name uncultured bacterium. Its description in RNAcentral is "bacterial SSU rRNA". It matches the Rfam family "Bacterial small subunit ribosomal RNA", at positions 43 to 738 of the family's 1533-position model. The record is from RNAcentral.